CCUACGGGAGGCAGCAGUGGGGAAUAUUGCACAAUGGGGGGAACCCUGAUGCAGCGACGCCGCGUGAGUGAAGCAGUAUUUCGGUAUGUAAAGCUCUAUCAGCAGGGAAGAAAAUGACGGUACCUGACUAAGAAGCCCCGGCUAACUACGUGCCAGCAGCCGCGGUAAUACGUAGGGGGCAAGCGUUAUCCGGAUUUACUGGGUGUAAAGGGAGCGCAGACGGCUGUGCAAGUCUGGAGUGAAAGGCGGGGGCCCAACCCCCGGACUGCUCUGGAAACUGUAAAGCUGGAGUGCAGGAGAGGUAAGCGGAAUUCCUAGUGUAGCGGUGAAAUGCGGAGAUAUUAGGAGGAACACCAGUGGCGAAGGCGGCUUACUGGACUGCAACUGACGUUGAGGCUCGAAAGCGUGGGGAGCAAACAGGAUUAGAUACCCCGGUAGUC
Molecule: ribosomal RNA, 440 nt
Filed under: uncultured bacterium
Lineage: Bacteria
Description: partial 16S ribosomal RNA
Rfam family: Bacterial small subunit ribosomal RNA
Source: RNAcentral